ACCAUGCAGAUAUAUAGAAAAAUGCUCUGAUAGGCACUCUCAAGAACAAACUAAUUUUUAUUAUUAACUUAAAGGACACCCAUUGAGAGUCAAAAAUAUAUUGUUUAUUUUUGCAUCGGUUGUUUCUAUUUUUAGUAACAGCCAAUAAUUCAUUUUGGUCAAUAUUCAAGGGAAAAUGCAAAAAAAUUGGUGUAAAAAUGACAAUUUCAAUAUUUAAAAGUAAAAAAGAAAAAAACAAUAUAUAAAUAAAAGGGUUAUGUUUUCUCAUAGAACUAAGUCGUAAAAUUAAGUUGGAAUCAUUUUUUUUGUAAAACCCCUAUACAGAAGGCUGUCACGAGGGCACAAAUAUUGGCAUGGUGCCAAGAAAUGAUAAUGGUUCAUUUUUUGUUAAUAUUCAGGGAUACAUUUCUUAGAAAGUAACGCUUCUUUUUUCAGAAUUUUGUGCAUUUAAGAAUCUCUAGGAUAUUAUCCAAACAAUAUGUAAAAUCCACCUUUGGACUCUCAAGGACAGAAAAGUUAUAUCGUAAUGAAAUUACCUCAAAUUCAAAUGAUGGAAAAAUUCAUGAUUUUGUAAGUUUUACUUUUAACCGUAAUUUUAAUGAAUUUUGUGUAAAAUAUUUACAAAUAUAAACAAUAAUAAUUAUUUUUAAUUUUAUAAAAGCUAUAAAUAUUUUUUCCCUGCUUUUCCUGUGAAAAAAAAAAACGUAUUUUACUAUUUAUUUAGAUUUUGUUAGAAUUAUCUCCCCUGUUGCGCUCUUCUGUAGAGAAGGUAGAUAAUGAUUAUGUUUACGAAGUUUAUAAACAGAUGUCUGUCAUCUAAUCGUUUUAAGCAUCAAUUAUGUGUGAUUUGAAGAAAAUUGUCCCUCCUGUGAAUGUAAUUUGUUACGUAUAUACUAGUGGCCUAUGUAUAAAAUGCAUAAAACAUUAUGAAAACCAUCGGGAUCGAAGUACGGAACCACGUGUAAACAUUAUGAGACGUAUCUGAGACGUUUUGUUACCGUUUUGUUCGUCCCCAGAAAAAGAUUCAAGUGCGUGAAUUGUCAACGAGUCUUCAGAUUAUGGCUCUGAUUUUGAUGGAAAUGAUUCUGACAGCAAACAUUCACUUGGUAGCAAGACGGAUGUAGUGAUGAUGAUACCGAAUCAACAAUGUUUGAAUUUGAAAAAGAAACAGAUUAUUCAAAUUCAUUUCCCUGGUUAGGACUGGGCUUUACAAUGGGAUUUUCAGCUGUGGAGCUAUAAAGAAUUACUACAUAGGGUUUCCAAUGUAGUUUUGUCAACAGAAUCCAGAAUUAAGAAGAGGAAAGACAAUGCAGAUGCAGCAUUAGCAUUACCAAUUACUUAGUAUCACUGCUGAGGAAAUGGUACCUGCUUUGAGUACUACUCUUGUGUAUUUGGAGACAGUGCAGUUGUUCUUUAAACCAGAAGUGGAAAUUUCAGUGCUUGUUAAAUUUUCUCCAGAAGUUAUUGGACGAUACAUAGGAAGAAAAUGGUGUCAUACUGAACAAAAUAGUUUGGAUACACCUUAUAGAUUUUGAAAGAUUGAGACCUCAAGAUCAACCCAAAUGAUAUUUAAUAUGUAUCAGGGUUCACUUGCAGGAAUACACAGAAAUUCAGAGUAAAUUCUUAGUGCUUGUUAUCUUAGAAAAGAUCAAAGUUCAAGGUCAGCAGUGCUUUAGUUUUACCAAAUAUAAAACUGUUAUAAAGACUAAUUUCCUGUAUACAGGUAUAGCAAAUAAUCCAGAAUAUGAUUUGGGGAAACCGUGAUUUUUUCUUUUAAAUCUUACCUUAAUUUAGAACCAUGAUGUAAUUUCAAGGUCAUUUUAAUUUUGGAAGUGAAUAUAAAAUAUCAGGAAGCAGUCAAGCAUUGUAAUUUAUUUGUUGUUGAAUGUACUUAAUUAUUGAGUAAUAUUCAAAUUUUAAUAUGCAAUGAAAUUAAAAAUUAUAAAAUAAUUAA
This is a long non-coding RNA of Saccostrea cuccullata (small rock oyster), 1954 nucleotides long. RefSeq lists it as uncharacterized. NCBI's taxonomy places the organism in Eukaryota, Metazoa, Mollusca, Bivalvia, Ostreida, Ostreidae. The transcript is spliced from 3 exons. The record is from RefSeq and is a predicted model, not a curated record.